Molecule: ribosomal RNA, 622 nt
Filed under: uncultured Bacteroidota bacterium
Lineage: Bacteria; Pseudomonadati; Bacteroidota
Description: bacterial SSU rRNA
Rfam family: Bacterial small subunit ribosomal RNA
Source: RNAcentral
UGCAAGUCGAGGGGCAGCAUUUCUAGCUUGCUAGAAGAUGGCGACCGGCGCACGCUUUAAUAACGCGUAUGCAACUCGCCUUUAACUGGAAGAUAUCCCAAAGAAAUUUGGACUAAUACUCCAUAACAUCAUGAAUUCGCAUGUUUUUAUGAUUAAAGCUCCGGCGGUUAAAGAUAGGCAUGCGUCCCAUUAGCUUGUUGGUGAGGUAACGGCUCACCAAGGCUACGAUGGGUAGGGGGCCUGAGAGGGUGAUCCCCCACACUGGUACUGAGACACGGACCAGACUCCUACGGGAGGCAGCAGUGAGGAAUAUUGGUCAAUGGAGGAAACUCUGAACCAGCCAUCCCGCGUGAAGGAUGAAUGCCCUAGUGGUUGUAAACUUCUUUUAUAUGGGAAUAAACCUGAGUACGUGUACUCAGCUGAAGGUACCAUACGAAUAAGCAUCGGCUAACUCCGUGCCAGCAGCCGCGGUAAUACGGAGGAUGCAAGCGUUAUCCGGAUUUAUUGGGUUUAAAGGGUCCGCAGGCGGACCAUUAAGUCAGUGGUGAAAGUCUGCAGCUUAUCUGUAGAAUUGCCAUUGAUACUGAUGGUCUUGAGUGUGGUUGAAGUGGGCGGAAUAUGA